GAUGAACGCUGGCGGCGUGCCUAAUACAUGCAAGUCGAGCGAACAGACGAGGAGCUUGCUCCUCUGACGUUAGCGGCGGACGGGUGAGUAACACGUGGAUAACCUACCUAUAAGACUGGGAUAACUACGGGAACCCGGAGCUAAUACCGGAUAAUAUAUUGAACCGCAUGGUUCAAUAGUGAAAGACGGUUUUGCUGUCACUUAUAGAUGGAUCCGCGCCGCAUUAGCUAGUUGGUAAGGUAACGGCUUACCAAGGCAACGAGGCGUAGCCGACCUGAGAGGGUGAUCGGCCACACUGGAACUGAGACACGGUCCAGACUGCUACGGGAGGCAGCAGUAGGGAAUCUUCCGCAAUGGGCGAAAGCCUGACGGAGCAACGCCGCGUGAGUUAUGAAGGUCUUCGGAUCGUAAAACUCUGUUAUUAGGGAAGAACAAAUGUGUAAGUAACUAUGCACGUCUUGACGGUACCUAAGCAGAAAGCCACGGCUAACUACGUG
Molecule: ribosomal RNA, 497 nt
Filed under: uncultured bacterium
Lineage: Bacteria
Description: partial 16S ribosomal RNA
Rfam family: Bacterial small subunit ribosomal RNA
Source: RNAcentral